RNAcentral lists this ribosomal RNA (423 nucleotides) under Triticum aestivum (bread wheat). RNAcentral describes it as "partial small subunit ribosomal RNA". The record is from RNAcentral. Lineage: Eukaryota; Viridiplantae; Streptophyta; Magnoliopsida; Poales; Poaceae.
AUGGAUGACAACCACUGCCCCAUGAUGAGCUGGAAUGUCCGGGACAUGAACACCUCGGCAAAGCGCGAAGCCAUUCGCGAGAUUGCUUUAUUGCAUAGAUUAGCUCUUCUUUGUCUCCAGGAGACGAAGAUAGACGUCUGGGAUCGCGGCCUUGUGUCGGAUACUGGAGGGGCCCUGCUAGCUGAUUGCAUAAUCCUCCUAGCCACAGGAACGAGGGAAGGUGGGACCAUCUUAUGGAACGCAACCCUUGUAUCGGUUUCAUCUCAUAGCAUAGGCCAAUUCGCCAUUACGGCCAAAGUUACAAUGCUGCAGUCGGGCCAGUCCUUUUGGCUCACCACGAUGUAUGGGCCGGCCGACGACACCCGUAAAGACGACUUCCUCCUAGAGAUCUCACGUGCAGCGCCCCCUACAUCCGAACCCUAG